This 2247-nucleotide ribosomal RNA is filed under the name Phyllocoptruta oleivora. RNAcentral describes it as "partial small subunit ribosomal RNA". It matches the Rfam family "Eukaryotic small subunit ribosomal RNA". The record is from RNAcentral. Lineage: Eukaryota; Metazoa; Arthropoda; Arachnida; Trombidiformes; Eriophyidae.
UGUAAAGUUCAAGCUCCGAUUUAGAGGGCGAAACCGCGAAUGGCUCAUUAAAUCAGUCAUAAUCUACUUGAUUGUUUAAAGUUUAUAUGGAUAACUGUGGUAAUUCUAGAGCUAAUACAUGCACAAAUGGGGCGACUCUAGCAAUGGAGAAGCUCUGCGUUUAUUAGACUAAGACCAAUGAGAUCUCGUAUCUCUAAAUCUAAGGUGACUCUGAAUAAAUAAUGGGUUUACGCCCAUGUUGCCGAGCUGGCGCAAAGGGCCUCACGGCCUGCCAGCCAAAUCAAUCGAGUGUCUGCUCUAUCAACUGUGGAUGGUAGGAUAAUUGCCUACCAUGGUGGUGACGGGUAACGGGGAGUUAGGGCUCGACUCCGGAGAACAAGCCUGAGAAACGGCUAGUAGGACUAAGGUCUGCAGCAGGCGCGAAACUUACACAAUGCUAGAUUACCAUUAGCGAUGUAGUGAAGAAAAAUAACGAUGUACUUGCAUUUAAACAUGCUAGUACAAUUGGAAUGAGACGACUACAAACCAGUUAGUCGAGUAACAAAUGGAGGGCAAGUCUGGUGCCAGCAGCCGCGGUAAUUCCAGCUCCAUUAGCAUACAUUAAAGUUGUUGCGGUUAAAAAGCUCGUAGUUGAAUUUAUAGUUGGUUACAUUGGGGCGCUUCCACUCAAGGGAUAGAUUAAUUUUAAUUAAUUCUUCUAUCCUGGUUGCGCUUUCCCCUUAGGAGCCAACUGUUUCGUCACUUAAUCGAGUGCGAAGCGGGCUGGAGUGGUCAACAAGUUUAUCUUGUUUUCGCUACAGCAUCUUUACCUUGAGAAAAUUAGAGUGCUCACAGCAGGCAGUUGGGGUGUAAAAGCCUCUUUAAUGCUUGAAUAAUGUUGCAUGGAAUAAUAGAAUACGGCCUCGGUUCUAUUCUGUUGGUCUUAUAGAACAACAAACAAGUUGGUUAAGGCGAUCAAAAGUCACCCGGACGAUGUGUGCCCCCAAGGAUCUACUUAAAUUCUUGUUGUCUUUGGUGCCUAAAAACACCUUUGUACCAUAAUUUAAAAAGACCCCCUUGGAGGCACAUCUAAAGCAUCCCCGGAUUGGCUAGCCUUCUAAUCAACUGAGGCAAUGGUUAAAAGAAAUAGUCGCGGCGGCAUCAGUACUGCAUCGUGAGAGGUGAAAUUCUUAGACCGAUGCAAGACUAACUGAAGCGAAAGCGUUUGCCGAGGAUAUUUUCAUUAAUCAAGAACGAAAGUUAGAGGUUCGAAGGCGAUCAGAUACCGCCCUAGUUCUAACCAUAAACGUUGCCAACUAGCAAUUGGGUUGUGAUUCCUUUAAUCGAAGCUUAAUAAACUUCGAUCAUUAUGAUCCACCCAGCGGCUCUCGUAGGGAAACCAAAGUGUUUGGGUUCCGGGGGAAGUAUGAUUGCAAAGUUGAAACUUAAAGGAAUUGACGGAAGGGCACCACCAGGAGUGGAGCCUGCGGCUUAAUUUGACUCAACACGGGGAAACUUACUAGAUUAAAACUCUGGAAUGAUUGACAGAUUGAUAGCUCUUUCUUGAUUCAGAGGAUGGUGGUGCAUGGCCGUUCUUGAUUCGUAUUCCGAAACGUCUGCUUAAUUGCGAUAACGAGUGAGACCUCACCCAACUAACUAGUCGUUUGGUGCGCUGUUGGAACGCAAAAGUUUGUUGCAAGUUUAGUUCUAAUUGGUUUACGCUACUUAGUUCGCUUGUAGCAAAUGUUCUCUGCUCGCCAGCGGACUUCUUAGAGGGAUAAACGGUGUUUUAGCCGUAAGAAACGAGGCAAUAACAGGUCUGUGAUGCCCUUAGAUAUUCUAGGCCGCACGCGUGCUACAAUGGCGUGUGCAGAAAGCUUGUUCGAGGUUUGUCCAGAGAGAACUAGUUAUUUGGUUUGCAGUAGGUAGCAAUAUUUGUUGUAAAUCGGUAAAAAAGUGACUUUGGUUAGCAAGCCGAGAGAAACCGUAGCCGAAAGGUUACGGCAAUCAUAAAUACACGCCGUGAUUUGGGAUUGGGGAUUGCAAUUGUUGCCCAUGAACGAGGAAUUCCCAGUAAGCGCAAUUCAUCAUAUUGCGUUGAUUACGUCCCUGCCCUUUGUACACACCGCCCGUCGCUACUACCGAUUGGAAGUUUUAGUGAGGCAUUUGGACCUGCAAUCUAAAGGGGAGGCAACUCCUCUUGGACCGCGGGGAAGUCUGUCGAACUCAAAUUUCUAGAGGAAGUAAAAGUCGUAACAAGGUUUCCGU